AAACUUUCAACAAUGGAUCUCUUGGUUCUCGCAUCGAUGAAGAACGCAGCGAAAUGCGAUAAGUAAUAUG
RNAcentral lists this ribosomal RNA (70 nucleotides) under uncultured Scutellospora. RNAcentral's name for it is "partial 5.8S ribosomal RNA". It matches the Rfam family "5.8S ribosomal RNA", at positions 1 to 69 of the family's 154-position model. From Rfam's summary of the family: 5.8S ribosomal RNA (5.8S rRNA) is a component of the large subunit of the eukaryotic ribosome. It is transcribed by RNA polymerase I as part of the 45S precursor that also contains 18S and 28S rRNA. The record is from RNAcentral. Lineage: Eukaryota; Fungi; Glomeromycota; Glomeromycetes; Diversisporales; Gigasporaceae.